Coprinopsis marcescibilis is the source of this 72-nucleotide non-coding RNA. NCBI's taxonomy places the organism in Eukaryota, Fungi, Basidiomycota, Agaricomycetes, Agaricales, Psathyrellaceae. The record is from the annotation of a GenBank genome assembly.
GGCCGUGUGGCGAAAUGGCAUCGCGUCUGACUACGAAUCAGGAGAUUGUAGGUUCGACCCCUACCUCGGUCA